This 419-nucleotide ribosomal RNA is filed under the name uncultured eukaryote. RNAcentral describes it as "bacterial SSU rRNA". It matches the Rfam family "Eukaryotic small subunit ribosomal RNA", at positions 592 to 1017 of the family's 1831-position model. The record is from RNAcentral.
CAAUAGCGUAUAUUAAAGUUGUUGCAGUUAAAAGCUCGUAGUCGGAUUUCGGGUCGGGCCGAGCGGUCUGCCGAUGGGUAUGCACUGUUUGGCGCGGCCUUCUUUCCGGAGACCGCGGCUACUCUUAACUGAGCGGGCGUGGGAGACGGAUCGUUUACUUUGAAAAAUCAGAGUGUUUCUAGCAGGCAGCUCGCUCUUGCAUAGGUUAGCAUGGGAUAAUUUAAUAGGACUCUGGUGCUAUUUUGUUGGUUUCUAGGACCGAAGUAAUGAUUAAUAGGGACAGUUGGGGGCAUUAGUAUUUAAUUGUCAGAGGUGAAAUUCUUGGAUUUAUGAAAGACUAACUACUGCGAAAGCAUUUGCCAAGGAUGUUUUCAUUAAUCAAGAACGAAAGUUAGGGGAUCGAAGACGAUCAGAUACCA